Lolium perenne is the source of this 1133-nucleotide long non-coding RNA. RefSeq lists it as uncharacterized. The record is from RefSeq and is a predicted model, not a curated record. NCBI's taxonomy places the organism in Eukaryota, Viridiplantae, Streptophyta, Magnoliopsida, Poales, Poaceae.
UGCUGUAAAUCCUCACCUUUGGUAUAACCUUGAGCUUCCACAACUUCUUCCACUGCUGCUCCGAAGUGGAGCUACCUGGAUUAUCAGCAACAUGCUGAACCAACAUAUAGUAUGCAGACCGAAGUGUAUAAGUUCCUGUUUCUUCUAGUGGUGUCGUGUGAACGUCGACUACACGACACUUCACCUUUAUGGGCCUAGGGGAAUGCAUCUUGUACUCGUUUGCCAAUUGCGGGGUUGCCGGAGUGACAGAAACCUGAGCCCCCGUUGGUAUAUCGAUGCAGGAGGGAUAGCAGGAUCUCAGAGUUUAAGGCUGUGGUUAGAUUUAUCUUAAUUACUUUCUUGUAGUUGCGGAUGCUUGCAAGGGGUAUAAUCACAAGUAUGUAUUAGUCCUAGGAAGGGCGGUACAUUAGCAUAGAUUCACCCACACAACACUUAUCAAAACAAUGAAGAUUAAUCAGCUGUAUGUAGCGAAAGCACUAGACUAAAUUCCCGUGUGUCCUCAAGAACGUUUAGUCAUUAUAAGUAAACAAACCGGCUUGUCCUUUGUGCUAAAAAGGAUUGGGCCACUCGCUGCAAUUAUUUCUCUCGCACUUUAUUUACUUGUACUUUAUUCAUCUGUUACAUCAAAACCCCCUGAAUACUUGUCUGUGAGCAUUUACAGUGAAUCCUUCAUUGAAACUGCUUGUCAACACCUUCUGCUCCUCGUUGGGAUCGACAUUCUUACUUAUCGAAGAUACUACGAUACACCCCCUAUACUUGUGGGUCAUCAAGACUAUUUUCUGGCGCCGUUGCCGGGGAGUGAAGCGCUAUUGGUAAAAGAGACAAACCACGAUGCGAUUAGUUGGGGAGCCAAAUUAUUCGUGCAAUUGUCAAAUAAAGUGUUCCAAGCGAAUCAUGGACGGAGGCCCAUGAAACUGAUGAAGUGAAGACAAGAACAUAGGAAAACAAACGAAUGAUAAAAAAGUCGGCACACAAUCAAGAAUUAGGAAAAGAUCAUGUUACUUGUGGUUGAAUAGCUGCUUUUUCUUGAGACUCUUGGCUCUCUUGUUUUUUAUUUGUCUGAUUUCUUUCUUUCUGUACUGAACAUGGUUUCUGGUAAUAGAAAUCGGGGGAAAUCCCUUAUUUAAGAAAAA